This is a transfer RNA of Serpula lacrymans var. lacrymans S7.3, 83 nucleotides long. It matches the Rfam family "tRNA". Rfam says of the family: Transfer RNA (tRNA) molecules are approximately 80 nucleotides in length. The record is from Rfam. NCBI's taxonomy places the organism in Eukaryota, Fungi, Basidiomycota, Agaricomycetes, Boletales, Serpulaceae.
GGCCGCCUGGCGAAAUGGCAUCGCGUCUGACUACGAUUAAGUCGGCGAUCAGGAGAUUGCAGGUUCGACCCCUGCGGUGGUCA